CCAAUAGCGUAUAUUAAAGUUGUUGCAGUUAAAAAGCUCGUAGUUGAAUUUCGGGAUCAAUUUAUUGGUCGUGCCAACGGUACGCACUGGUACAAUUGGUUUCUCCCUUCUGACGAAGCAUGAUGUCAUUAAUUUGAUGUCGUGGGGAAUCAGGACUGUUACUUUGAAAAAAUUAGAGUGUUUAAAGCAGGCUUUGGCUUGAAUACAUUAGCAUGGAAUAAUGAAAUAGGACGUUUGAUCUUAUUUCGUUGGUUUCUAAGAUCGACGUAAUGAUUAAUAGGGAUAGUUGGGGGCAUUAGUAUUCAAUUGUCAGAGGUGAAAUUCUUGGAUUUAUUGAAGACUAACUACUGCGAAAGCAUUUGCCAAGGAUGUUUUCAUUAAUCAAGAACGAAAGUUAGGGGAUCGAAGACGAUCAGAUACCGUCGUAGUCUUAACCAUAAACUAUGCCGACUAGGGAUCGGAUGAUGUUAAUUUUUUAAUGACUCAUUCGGCGCCUUACG
Molecule: ribosomal RNA, 500 nt
Filed under: uncultured Glomeromycotina
Lineage: Eukaryota; Fungi; Glomeromycota
Description: partial small subunit ribosomal RNA
Rfam family: Eukaryotic small subunit ribosomal RNA
Source: RNAcentral